UAACGGCGAGUGAAGCGGCAACAGCUCAAAUUUGAAAGCUGGUCCUUGCAGGGCCCGCGUUGUAAUUUGUAGAGGAUGAUUCGGCGAGGGCUCCCGCCUAAGUCCCCUGGAACGGGGCGUCAUAGAGGGUGAGAAUCCCGUAUGCGGUGGGCUGCCUUAGCCAUGUGAAUCUCCUUCGACGAGUCGAGUUGUUUGGGAAUGCAGCUCUAAAUGGGAGGUAAAUUUCUUCUAAAGCUAAAUACCGGCCAGAGACCGAUAGCGCACAAGUAGAGUGAUCGAAAGAUGAAAAGCACUUUGGAAAGAGAGUUAAAAAGUACGUGAAAUUGUUGAAAGGGAAGCGCUUGCAACCAGACUUGUCCGCAGUUGCUCAGCCGGUCUCCUGACCGGCGUACUCUUCUGCGGCCAGGCCAGCAUCAGUUCGGGCGGUCGGAUAAAGGCCUCGGGAAUGUAGCUCCUCUCGGGGAGUGUUAUAGCCCGGGGCGGAAUGCGGCCAGCCUGGACUGAGGAUCUCGCUUCGGCUAGGAUGCUGGCGUAAUGGUUGUAAGCGGCCCGUCUUGAAACACGGACCAAGGAGUCUAACAUCUAUGCGAGUGUUUGGGUGUCAAACCCAUACGCGGAAUGAAAGUGAACGGAGGUGGGAACCCUCACGGGUGCACCAUCGGCCGAUCCUGAUGUCUUCGGAUGGAUUUGAGCAAGAGCAUAGCUGUUGGGACCCGAAAGAUGGUGAACUAUGCCUGAAUAGGGUGAAGCCAGAGGAAACUCUGGUGGAGGCUCGCAGCGGUUCUGACGUGCAAAUCGAUCGUCAAAUUUGGGUAUAGGG
RNAcentral lists this ribosomal RNA (820 nucleotides) under Botryobambusa fusicoccum. RNAcentral's name for it is "eukaryotic LSU rRNA". It matches the Rfam family "Eukaryotic large subunit ribosomal RNA", at positions 84 to 922 of the family's 3401-position model. Lineage: Eukaryota; Fungi; Ascomycota; Dothideomycetes; Botryosphaeriales; Botryosphaeriaceae. The record is from RNAcentral.